Molecule: ribosomal RNA, 377 nt
Filed under: uncultured bacterium
Lineage: Bacteria
Description: bacterial SSU rRNA
Rfam family: Bacterial small subunit ribosomal RNA
Source: RNAcentral
GACGAACGCUGGCGGCGUGCCUAAUACAUGCAAGUCGAACGCACUCUCGUUUAGAUUGAAGGAGCUUGCUCCUGAUUGAUAAACAUUUGAGUGAGUGGCGGACGGGUGAGUAACACGUGGGUAACCUGCCCUAAAGUGGGGGAUAACAUUUGGAAACAGAUGCUAAUACCGCAUAAAACCUAACACCGCAUGGUGUAGGGUUGAAAGAUGGUUUCGGCUAUCACUUUAGGAUGGACCCGCGGUGCAUUAGUUAGUUGGUGAGGUAAAGGGCUCACCAAGACCGUGAUGCAUAGCGACCUGAGAGGGUAAUCGGCCACAACUGGGUCUGAGACACGGCCCAGACUCCUACGGGAGCAGCAGUAGGGAAUCUUCCACAA